CCUACGGGAGGCAGCAGUGAGGAAUAUUGGUCAAUGGGAGAGAUCCUGAACCAGCCAAGCCGCGUGAGGGAAGACGGCCCUAUGGGUGGUAAACCUCUUUUGUCGGAGAACAAAACCCGGGACGAGUCCCGGACUGCGUGUAUCCGAAGACAAAGCAUAGGCUAACUCCGUGCCAGCAGCCGCGGUAAUACGGAAGGCCCGAGGGUUAUCCGGAUUCAUUGGGCUUAAAGGGAGCGUAGGCGGGCGUUCAAGUCAGCUGUAAAAUCGAGCGGCUCAACCGCGCACCGCAGUUGAAACUGGACGACUUGAGUGCACAACAGGCAGGCGGAAUUCGUGGUGUAGCGGUGAAAUGCAUAGAUAUCACGAGGAACCCCGAUUGCGAAGGCAGGCUGCCGGGGUGCGACUGACGCUGAGGCUCGAAGGUGCGGGUAUCAAACAGGAUUAGAUACCCGUGUAGUC
Molecule: ribosomal RNA, 459 nt
Filed under: uncultured bacterium
Lineage: Bacteria
Description: partial 16S ribosomal RNA
Rfam family: Bacterial small subunit ribosomal RNA
Source: RNAcentral